This 73-nucleotide transfer RNA is filed under the name Canis lupus familiaris (dog). It matches the Rfam family "tRNA". Rfam says of the family: Transfer RNA (tRNA) molecules are approximately 80 nucleotides in length. The record is from Rfam by way of RNAcentral. Lineage: Eukaryota; Metazoa; Chordata; Mammalia; Carnivora; Canidae. RNAcentral also lists the same sequence under 1 other name.
ACCUGGCUGGCUCAGUCAGUAGAGCAUGAGACUCUUGAUCUCAGAGUUGUGAAUUUGAGCCCCACGUUGGGUA